Molecule: ribosomal RNA, 254 nt
Filed under: uncultured bacterium
Lineage: Bacteria
Description: partial 16S ribosomal RNA
Rfam family: Bacterial small subunit ribosomal RNA
Source: RNAcentral
UACGUAGGGGCCUAGCGUUGUCCGGAUUUAUUGGGCGUAAAGAGCUCGUAGGCGGUUUGGUUAGUCAGGUGUGAAAUCUCCACGCUCAACGUGGAGGGGCCACCUGAUACUGCCAUGACUUGAGUCCGGUAGGGGAGUGUGGAAUUCCCGGUGUAGCGGUGAAAUGCGCAGAUAUCGGGAAGAACACCCGUGGCUAAGGCGGCUCUCUAGUACGGUACUGACGCUGAGACGCGAAAGCGUGGGGAGCGAACAGG